Molecule: long non-coding RNA, 335 nt
Organism: Nerophis ophidion (straightnose pipefish)
Lineage: Eukaryota; Metazoa; Chordata; Actinopteri; Syngnathiformes; Syngnathidae
Exons: 2
Source: RefSeq, a predicted model, not a curated record
GUUCAGCAUAAAAGCAUGAGCAUGUUUGUGUGAGGCUUGCGUGGCAUAAAGAUGCCGGUUUUGUUCCUCCGUGGAUGCGUCGGCAAGAACACAGCAAAAGUGUUGCCAAUCAACCUAUCCCCAGGUGCAUGUCUUUGGAGGUGGGAGGAAGCUGGAGUACCCGGAGGGAACCCACGCAUUCACGGGGAGAACAUGCAAACUCCACACAGAAAGAUCCCGAGCCUGGAUUUGAACCCAGGACUGCAGGACUUUAGUAUUGUGAGGCAGACGCACUAACCCCUCUGCCACCGUGAAGCCCUUUACUUUUGUAAUAAAUAUUUUAUUUUUUGACUCAA